This is a long non-coding RNA of Oncorhynchus nerka (sockeye salmon), 3929 nucleotides long. RefSeq lists it as uncharacterized. The record is from RefSeq and is a predicted model, not a curated record. NCBI's taxonomy places the organism in Eukaryota, Metazoa, Chordata, Actinopteri, Salmoniformes, Salmonidae. The transcript has 5 exons.
UAACAGGGUGUAUGGUGGUGUGUAACAGGGUGUAUGGUGUGUAACAGGGUGUAUGGUGGUGUGCAACUGGGUGUAUGGUGGUGUGCAACAGGGUGUAUGGUGGUGUGCAACAGGGUGUUUGGUGUGUAACAGGGUGUAUGGUGGUGUGUAACAGGGUGUAUGGUGGUGUGCAACUGGGUGUAUGGUGGUGUGUAACAGGGUGUAUGGUGGUGUGCAACAUGGUGUUUGGUGUGUAACAGGGUGUUUGGUGUGUAACAGGGUGUAUGGUGGUGUGCAACAGGGUGUAUGGUGGUGUGUAACAGGGUGUAUGGUGGUGUGCAACUGGGUGUAUGGUGGUGUGCAACUGGGUGUAUGGUGGUGUGUAACAGGGUGUAUAGUGGUGUGUAACAGGGUGUAUAGUGGUGUGCAACAGGGUGUAUGGUGGUGUGCAACUGGGUGUAUGGUGGUGUGCAACUGGGUGUAUGGUGGUGUGCAACAGGGUGUAUGGUGGUGUGUAACAGGGUGUGUAACAUGGUGUGUAACAGGGUGUGUAACGUGGUGUAUGGUGGUGUGUAACAGGGUGUAUGGUGGUGUGCAACAGGGUGUAUGGUGGUGUGUAACAGGGUGUAUGGUGGUGUGUAACAGGGUGUUUGGUGGUGUGUAACAGGGUGUAUGAGGGUGUGUAACAGGGUGUAUGGUGGUGUGUAACAGGGUGUAUGGUGUUGUGUAACAGGGUGUUUGGUGGUGUGUAACAGGGUGUAUGGUGGUGUGUAACAGGGUGUUUGGUGGUGUGCAACAGGGUGUAUGGUGGUGUGUAACAGGGUGUUUGGUGGUGUGUAACAGGGUGUAUGGUGGUGUGUAACAGGGUGUGUAACAUGGUGUUUGGUGGUGUGCAACAGGGUGUUUGGUGUGUAAACAGGGUGUGCAACAGGGUGUAUGGUGGUGUGCAACAGGGUGUAUAGUGGUGUGCAACAGGGUGUUUGGUGUGUAACAGGGUGUAUGGUGGUGUGCAACAGGGUGUGUAACGGUGUAUGGUGGUGUGCAACUGGGUGUAUGGUGGUGUGUAACAGGGUGUUUGGUGUGUAACGUGCAACAGGGUGUAUGGUGUGCAUCAGGGUGUAUGGUGGUGUUUAGUGGUGUGUAACAGGGUGUUUGGUGGUGUGUAACAGGGUGUUUGGUGUGUAACAGGGUGUUUGGUGGUGUGUAACGGUGUAUGGUGGUGUGUAACAGGGUGUAUGGUGGUGUGUAACAUGGUGUUUGGUGUGUAACAGGGUGUAUGGUGGUGUGUAACAGGGUGUAUGGUGGUGUGCAACAGGGUGUAUGGUGGUGUGCAACUGGGUGUAUGGUGGUGUGUAACAGGGUGUAUGGUGGUGUGCAACAUGGUGUUUGGUGUGUAACAGGGUGUAUGGUGGUGUGCAACAGGGUGUAUGGUGGUGUGUAACAGGGUGUAUGGUGGUGUGCAACAGGGUGUUUGGUGUGUAACAUGGUGUAUGGUGGUGUGCAACUGGGUGUAUGGUGGUGUGCAACAGGGUGUAUGGUGGUGUGCAACAGGGUGUAUGGUGGUGUGCAACUGGGUGUUUGGUGUGUAACGGUGUGUAACGUGCAACAGGGUGUAUGGUGGUGUGUAACAUGGUGUGCAUCAGGGUGUAUGGUGUGUAACAGGGUGUGUAACAGGGUGUUUGGUGGUGUGUAACAGGGUGUAUGGUGGUGUGCAACUGGGUGUAUGGUGGUGUGCAACAGGGUGUUUGGUGUGUAACAGGGUGUAUGGUGGUGUGCAACUGGGUGUAUGGUGGUGUGUAACAGGGUGUAUGGUGGUGUGUAACAGGGUGUAUGGUGGUGUGUAACAGGGUGUGUAACAGGGUGUGUAACAUGGUGUUUGGUGGUGUGUAACAGGGUGUAUGGUGGUGUGUAACAGGGUGUGUAACAGGGUGUGUAACAUGGUGUUUGGUGGUGUGUAACAGGGUGUAUGGUGGUGUGUAACAGGGUGUGUAACAGGGUGUGUGGUGGUGUGCAACAGGGUGUAUGGUGGUGUGUAACAGGGUGUUUGGUGGUGUGUAACAGCGUGUGUAACAGGGUGUAUGGUGGUGUGUAACAGGGUGUAUGGUGGUGUGUAACAGGGUGUAUGGUGGUGUCUAACAGGGUGUAUGGUGGUGUGUAACAGGGUGUAUGGUGGUGUGUAACAGGGUGUGUAACAGGGUGUAUGGUGGUGUGUAACAGGGUGUAUGGUGGUGUGUAACAGGGUGUAUGGUGGUGUGUAACAGGGUGUAUGGUGGUGUGUAACAGGGUGUGUAACAGGGUGUAUGGUGGUGUGUAACAGGGUGUAUGGUGGUGUGUAACAGGGUGUAUGGUGGUGUGUAACAGGGUGUAUGGUGGUGUGUAACAGGGUGUAUGGUGGUGUGUAACAGGGUGUAUGGUGGUGUGUAACAGGGUGUGUAACAGGGUGUAUGGUGGUGUGUAACAGGGUGUAUGGUGGUGUGUAACAGGCUGUAUGAUGGUGUGUAACAGGGUGUAUGGUGGUGUGUAACAGGGUGUUUGGUGGUGUGUAACAGGGUGUUUGGUGUGUAACAGGGUGUAUGAGGGUGUGUAACAUGGUGUAUGGUGGUGUGUAACAGGGUGUUUGGUGGUGUGUAACAGGGUGUAUGAGGGUGUGUAACAGGGUGUGUAACAUGGUGUAUGGUGGUGUGUAACAGGGUGGUUGGUGGUGUGUAACGUGGUGUUUGGUGGUGUGUAACAGGGUGUAUGAGGGUGUGUAACAGGGUGUGUAACAUGGUGUAUGGUGGUGUGUAACAGGGUGUAUGGUGGUGUGUAACAGGGUGUGUAACAGGGUGUAUGGUGGUGUGCAACAGGGUGUAUGGUGGUGUGCAACAGGCUGUAUGAUGGUGUGUAACAGGGUGUAUGGUGGUGUGUAACAGGGUGUAUGGUGGUGUGUAACAGGGUGUAUGGUGGUGUGUAACAGGGUGUAUGGUGGUGUGUAACAGGGUGUAUGGUGGUGUGUAACAGGGUGUGUAACAGGGUGUAUGGUGGUGUGUAACAGGGUGUAUGGUGGUGUGUAACAGGGUGUAUGGUGGUGUCUAACAGGGUGUAUGGUGGUGUGUAACAGGGUGUGUAACAGGGUGUAUGGUGGUGUGUAACAGGGUGUAUGGUGGUGUGUAACAGGGUGUGUAACAGGGUGUGUAACAGGGUGUAUGGUGGUGUGUAACAGGGUGUGUAACAGGGUGUGUAACAGGGUGUAUGGUGGUGUGUAACAGGGUGUGUAACAGGGUGUAUGGUGGUGUGUAACAGGGUGUAUGGUGGUGUGUAACAGGGUGUGUAACAGGGUGUGUAACAGGGUGUAUGGUGGUGUGUAACAGGGUGUGUAACAGGGUGUGUAACAGGGUGUAUGGUGGUGUGUAACAGUGCUCUCUCUCCUCAGUGCUGUGAUCUUCUUCUUUGUGAAGAGUGAUGUUCACAGUCAGUCCUCCAGACCAGAAGAGGAGGAGCCACUACUCAUAGACGGCUGUGUAAAUGCAGAUGGUGGGACGUCGUCUGAUGACUCGUGGGUCGACACACUAAGACAUGAGACCAAAAGACUGGUUGGUUCUCUCCUAGCUGUGGCAGCAGGUUUGUUGUACGGUACCUCAUUUGUUCCAGUUCUCUACAUUAAGAACCACGCAGCACAUCAUGACAGCCGCUUCACCGGGGCAAGCCAGUUUGAUCUGGACUAUGUGUUUGCCCAGUUCAGUGGGAUAUUCCUGACCAGUACUGUCUACUUCCUGAUCUACUGCGCUGCCAUGAAGAACACACCUAGAGUCUACCCUAGAGCAAUACUCCCUGGCUUUGUCUCUGGGGUGAUGUGGGGUAUUGCUACCUGCUGCUGGUUUCUGGCCAACACCUACCUGAGUGCUGUGGUCAGUUUCCCCAUAAUAACCACGGUGAGUAUUAAUACUACAGCGGUACUAUAUUACGACUAC